RNAcentral lists this ribosomal RNA (320 nucleotides) under uncultured organism. RNAcentral describes it as "bacterial SSU rRNA". It matches the Rfam family "Bacterial small subunit ribosomal RNA", at positions 367 to 703 of the family's 1533-position model. The record is from RNAcentral.
CGCAAUGGGCGAAAGCCUGACGGAGCAAUACCGCGUGAGGGAUGAAAGCCUGUGGGUUGUAAACCUCUUUUCUCAAGGAAGAAUUUUGACGGUACUUGAGGAAUAAGCAUCGGCUAACUCUGUGCCAGCAGCCGCGGUAAUACAGAGGAUGCAAGCGUUAUCCGGAAUCACUGGGCAUAAAGCGUCUGUAGGUCGCGAAUUAAGCCUGUUGUUAAAGAUCAGGGCCUAACCCUGAGAAAGCAAUGGAAACUAAUACGCUUGAGUGUGGUAGAGGUAGAGGGAAUUCUUAGUGUAGCGGUGAAAUGCGUAGAUAUUAGGAU